This is a small nuclear RNA of Cynocephalus volans (Philippine flying lemur), 109 nucleotides long. NCBI's taxonomy places the organism in Eukaryota, Metazoa, Chordata, Mammalia, Dermoptera, Cynocephalidae. The record is from RefSeq and is a predicted model, not a curated record.
GUUUUCUUCUUUCUUUAGCACAUAUGCUAAAAUUGGAAUGAUAUAGAGAAGAUUGGCAUGGCCCCUGAGCAAGGAUGACAUGCAAAUUCAUGAAGCAUUGUAUAUUUCU